AUUGAACGCUGGCGGCAUGCUUUACACAUGCAAGUCGAACGGUAACAGGCCGCAAGGUGCUGACGAGUGGCGAACGGGUGAGUAAUGCAUCGGAACGUGCCCAGUCGUGGGGGAUAACUACUCGAAAGAGUAGCUAAUACCGCAUACGAUCUAUGGAUGAAAGCGGGGGACCGUAAGGCCUCGCGCGAUUGGAGCGGCCGAUGUCAGAUUAGGUAGUUGGUGGGGGAAAGGCUCACCAAGCCAACGAUCUGUAGCUGGUCUGAGAGGACGACCAGCCACACUGGGACUGAGACACGGCCCAGACUCCUACGGGAGGCAGCAGUGGGGAAUUUUGGACAAUGGGCGAAAGCCUGCUCCAGCAAUGCCGCGUGCAGGUAGAAGGCCUUCGGGUUGUAAACUGCUUUUGUACGGAACGAAACGGCUCUGGUUAAUACCCGGGGCUAAUGACGGUACCGUAAGAAUAAGCACCGGCUAACUACGUG
This 482-nucleotide ribosomal RNA is filed under the name uncultured bacterium. Its description in RNAcentral is "partial 16S ribosomal RNA". It matches the Rfam family "Bacterial small subunit ribosomal RNA", at positions 30 to 507 of the family's 1533-position model. The record is from RNAcentral.